This 3552-nucleotide ribosomal RNA is filed under the name Plenodomus biglobosus/Leptosphaeria biglobosa 'brassicae' group. RNAcentral's name for it is "eukaryotic LSU rRNA". It matches the Rfam family "Eukaryotic large subunit ribosomal RNA". Lineage: Eukaryota; Fungi; Ascomycota; Dothideomycetes; Pleosporales; Leptosphaeriaceae. RNAcentral also lists the same sequence under 1 other name. The record is from RNAcentral.
ACAACUUUUAACAACAGAUCUCUUAGUUCUAGCAUUAAUAAAGAACGCAGCGAAAUGCGAUAAGUAGUGUGAAUUAUAGAAUUUAGUAAAUUAUUAAAUCUUUAAACGCACAUUACGCCCCUUAGUAUUCUAUAGGGCAUGCCUGUUUAAGCGUUAUUUGUACCCUUAAGCUCUACUUAGUGUUAGGUAUUUAUUCUACUUAGGACUUGCCUUAAAACAAUUGGUAGCUAGCAUAUUAGCCUAGAGCGCAGCACAUUUUACGCCUCUUAUUAUAGUUGUUAGCAUCUAUUAAGACACUUUUUAAGCUCUUAACCUUAGAUUAGGUAGGGAUACCCACUAAACUUAAGCAUAUUAAUAAGUGGAGGAAAAGAAACUAAUAGGGAUUGCCCUAGUAACAGCGAGUGAAGCGGCAAUAGCUUAAAUUUGAAAUCUAGCUCUUUUAGGGUCUAAGUUGUAAUUUGCAGAGGGCGCUUUAGCGUUAGUAGUAGUCUAAGUUCCUUAGAAUAGGACGUUAUAGAGGGUAAGAAUCCUAUACGUAGUUGCUAGCCUUUGCUGUGUAAAGCCCCUUUAACAAGUUAAGUUAUUUAGGAAUAUAGCUCUAAAUAGGAGGUAAAUUUCUUCUAAAGCUAAAUACUAGCUAGAGACUAAUAGCGUACAAGUAGAGUAAUUAAAAGAUAAAAAGCACUUUAGAAAGAGAGUUAAAUAGCACGUGAAAUUGUUAAAAGGGAAGCGCUUGCAGCUAGACUUGCCUGUAGUUGCUUAUCUAGGCUUUUAUCUAGUGCACUCUUCUAUAGGCAGGCUAGUAUUAGUUUAGGUAGUUAGAUAAAGGUCUCUAUUACGUACCUCCCUUUAGGGAGGCCUUAUAGGGGAGACGACAUGCAACUAGCCUAGACUAAGGUCCGCGUAUCUGCUAGGAUGCUAGCGUAAUAGCUGUAAGUGGCCUGUCUUAAAAUAUAGACUAAGGAGUCUAAUAUCUAUGCAAGUGUUUAGGUGUUAAGCCUAAACGCGUAAUAAAAGUAAACAGAGGUAGGACCCCUUUUAGGGUGCACUAUUAACUAAUCCUAAUAUCUUUAGAAGGAUUUAAGUAAGAGUAUAGCUAUUAGGACCUAAAAGAUAGUAAACUAUGCUUAAAUAGGGUAAAGCUAGAGGAAACUCUAGUAGAGGCUCACAGCAGUUCUAACGUGCAAAUCAAUUGUUAAAUUUAGGUAUAGGGGCGAAAGACUAAUUAAACUAUCUAGUAGCUAGUUCCUACUAAAGUUUCCCUUAGGAUAGCAGUAACGUAUUUAGUUUUAUAAGGUAAAGCAAAUAAUUAGAGGCCUAGGGGUUAAAAUAACCUUUACCUAUUCUUAAACUUUAAAUAUAUAAGAAGUCCUUAUUACUUAAUUAAAUAUAGACACUUAAAUAUACUAUUACUAGUAGGCUAUUUUUAGUAAGCAGAACUAGCAAUAUAGGAUAAACUAAACGCGGGGUUAAGGUGCUAGAAUACACGCUUAUUAGAUACUAUAAAAGGUGUUAGUUUAUCUAGAUAGUAGGAUAGUAGCUAUAGAAGUUAGAAUCUGCUAAGGAGUGUGUAACAACUUACCUGCUAAAUAAACUAGCCCUAAAAAUAGAUAGCGCUUAAGCGUGUUACCUAUACCCUGCCACUAGGGCAAGAUUUAAGCCCUAGCAAGUAGGCAGGCGUAGAGGCUCGUGACAAAGCCUUAGGGGUAACCCUAGGUAGAACAGCCUCUAGUGCAGAUCUUAGUAGUAGUAGCAAAUACUUAAAUAAGAACUUUAAGGACUAAAGUAGGGAAAGGUUCUAUGUAAACAGCAGUUAGACACAGGUUAGUUAAUCCUAAGAGAUAGGGUAAUUCUAUUUUAAUAUUAGCGCUUACGCUGCGCCCUUAAAAGGGAAGCUAGUUAAUAUUCUAGCACCUAGAUAUAGAUUCUCUGCGGCAACGCAACUAAGAGCAGAGACCUUAGCAGGAGCCCUAAGAAGAGUUCUCUUUUCUUCUUAACAGUCUAUUACCCUAAAAUUAGUUUGUCUAGAGCUAGGGUUUAAUAGCUAGAAGAGCGCUAUACUUUUGCAGCAUUUAGUGCGCUCCUAAUAAGCCUUAAAAAUCCGCUUAAAGAAAUAGUUUUUACGCUAGGUCGUACUUAUAACUAUAGCAGGUCUCUAAGGUAAAAAGCCUCUAGUUAAUAGAAUAAUGUAGAUAAGGGAAGUUAGCAAAAUAGAUCUAUAACUUUAGGAAAAGGAUUAGCUCUAAGGGUUAGGUACGUUAGGCCUUAGGGAGAAGCCUCUAGCGUAGAAGGGCACUAACUGUAAGGUAGGCGCCUCUUAGUGCUAGAGUGCAGACACCCUUAGCAGGUUUUAGCUGUCUAGCGUACGUUUAACAACUAACUUAGAACUAGUAUAGAUAAGGGGAAUCUAACUAUCUAAUUAAAACAUAGCAUUACAAUAGCUAGAAAGUAGUGUUAAUAUAAUAUAAUUUCUGCCUAGUGCUCUAAAUAUUAAAGCAAAGAGAUUUAACCAAGCGCGGGUAAAUAGUAGGAGUAACUAUAACUCUCUUAAGGUAGCUAAAUACCUUGUUAUCUAAUUAGUAACGCGCAUAAAUAGAUUAACAAGAUUCCUACUAUCCCUAUCUACUAUCUAGCGAAACUAUAGCUAAGGGAACAGGCUUAGCUAAAUUAGCAGGGAAAGAAGACCCUAUUAAGCUUAACUCUAGUUUAAUAUUGUGAAAAGACAUAGGGGGUGUAGAAUAGGUAGGAGCUUUAGCGCUAGUAAAAUACUACUACCCUUAUUAUUUUUUUACUUAUUUAAUAAAGCAGAGCUAGGCCUUACUACCUAACUUCUAGCGUUUAAGGUCCUUUAUAGGCUAAUCUAGGUUAAAGAUAUUAUUAGGUAGGGAGUUUAGCUAGGGCGGCACAUCUAUUAAACUAUAACAUAGGUGUCCUAAGGGGGACUUAUAGAGAAUAGAAAUCUCUAGUAGAGUAAAAGGGUAAAAGUCCCCUUAAUUUUAAUUUUUAGUGUGAAUAGAAACUAUAAAAGUGUAGCCUAUUAAUCCUUUAGUGCCUUAAAAUUUAAGGCUAGAGGUGCUAGAAAAGUUACUAUAGGGAUAACUAGCUUGUGGCAGCUAAGCGUUCAUAGCGACGUUGCUUUUUAAUCCUUUAAUAUUAGCUCUUCCUAUUAUAGUAAAGCAGAAUUUAGUAAGCGUUAGAUUAUUCACCUACUAAUAGGGAACGUAAGCUAGGUUUAGACUGUUGUAAGACAGGUUAGUUUUACCCUACUAAUAACCUUACCCUAAUAGUAAUACUACUUAGUACGAGAGGAACCGCGGUUUUAGAUAAUUAGUUUUUGCAGCUAUCUAACUAGGUAUUGCUGCAAAGCUACUAUCUACUAGAUUAUAGCUAAACGCCUCUAAGUUAGAAUCCAUGCUAGAAUAGGGUGAUUUCCGCCUGCACUAGUUAGAUACAAAUAGGCCUUUGGCCUAGAACCUUACUAGAUUGGCGUUAGUAGCCCUAUUAAAGUUAGAGUUGUUAGCUAGUAUAUUGCAAUUAUACAGUGCGUUAGAU